GUAGUCUCGCACAGAUGCAUAUCAAUAAGCGGAGGAAAAGAAACUAACAAGGAUUCCCCUAGUAACGGCGAGUGAAGCGGGAAGAGCUCAAAUUUGAAAUCUUAAAGGGUUUCCCUUUACGAAUUGUAGUUUAAAGAAGUGUUUUCUGUUGAGGUUUUGGUAAAAGUUCUUUGGAAUAGGACAUCAUAGAGGGUGAGAAUCCCGUAUUUGACCUUUACUUUCAACUUUGUGAUACACUUUCAAAGAGUCGGAUUGUUUGGGAAUGCAGUCCAAAAUGGGUGGUAAAUUUCAUCUAAAGCUAAAUAUUGGCGAGAGACCGAUAGCGAACAAGUACCGUGAGGGAAAGAUGAAAAGAGCUUUGAAAAGAGGGUUAAACAGUACGUGAAAUUGUCAAAAGGGAAGCGUUUGACACCAGUGUUGUUUUUCUGAAAAUCAAUUAAAGAACUGUUUAUGCUAAGCUGUUUAGACUUUAUCAGCUAUCUGUUUAGUUUUGAGCUUUUCUUUAAUGCACUUUUCAGUUAACAAGUCAACAUCAAUUUCUUUUGCUGUAAAAAAGCUUGAGGAAGGUGGCUUGAGAUUCGUCUUAAGUGUUUAUAGCCUCUUGCCUAUGCAGUCGGAGAGAUUGAGGUCUGCAGCGUAGAUCCUUCGGGGCUAAAUGCAUUUGUGCUAAGUUAUAGCAUUUCAUAGACAACUUGUUGACUAUGAUUUGUCUUGUAGCUUACUCGCUUAUGUUAUUUUACCUACGCUUAGGAUGUUGACAGCAGUAUAGACUGU
Molecule: ribosomal RNA, 774 nt
Filed under: uncultured Neocallimastigales
Lineage: Eukaryota; Fungi; Neocallimastigomycota; Neocallimastigomycetes; Neocallimastigales
Description: partial large subunit ribosomal RNA
Rfam family: Eukaryotic large subunit ribosomal RNA
Source: RNAcentral